Molecule: ribosomal RNA, 497 nt
Filed under: uncultured bacterium
Lineage: Bacteria
Description: partial 16S ribosomal RNA
Rfam family: Bacterial small subunit ribosomal RNA
Source: RNAcentral
GAUGAACGCUGGCGGCGUGCCUAAUACAUGCAAGUCGAGCGAACAGACGAGGAGCUUGCUCCUCUGACGUUAGCGGCGGACGGGUGAGUAACACGUGGAUAACCUACCUAUAAGACUGGGAUAACUUCGGGAAACCGGAGCUAAUACCGGAUAAUAUAUUGAACCGCAUGGUUGAAUAGUGAAAGACGGUUUUGCUGUCACGUAUAGAUGGAUCCGCGCCGCAUUAGCUAGUUGGUAAGGUAACGGCUUACCAAGGCAACGAUGCGUAGCCGACCUGAGAGGGUGAUCGGCCACACUGGAACUGAGACACGGUCCAGACUCCUACGGGAGGCAGCAGUAGGGAAUCUUCCGCAAUGGGCGAAAGCCUGACGGAGCAACGCCGCGUGAGUGAUGAAGGUCUUCGGAUCGUAAAACUCUGUUAUUAGGGAAGAACAAAUGUGUAAGUAACUAUGCACGUCUUGACGGUACCUAAUCAGAAAGCCACGGCUAACUACGUG